CUCAACUUUUCUAUAUGCAGUCUUUCUGAUAGCAAAAAAUGUUUCUCAGUAGGUUUGUCUGGGGCAGCCUCCAUCCUGCAAGUGCUGUCAGGAAGCAAAGGAGGCAGGAAACUGGCAGGACUCAGCAAGGACCUGCCAGUCAAACUGAAGAAGAAGGGCAUGUGCAAGCAAAGGAAACAGUGAUGCAUCACCCGGGAGGAAUACAGGGAUGCUGUCUGGAUGUGCACAGGAACGUGAACAUGGAAGAAGAGCCUGGCGUGGAAAACCACUGAGUUCUGACACAUUCCAUUUGCUCCUAACUCUUUGAUUUCUACUCACAGAAUCUGACAUAUGUUGGGCAUUGACCUUGCUCUUUUAAAUAAGCUUAUUUUAGAAGACCUUUGCAAAAUGCUGUCUGUUUGGCCUCGAUGUAAGCUGUGAGAGAAAUGUAGUACAAACACAGAAGUUGUAUGUUUUGAAUGCCAGAGAUGUUACACCAAAGAGCAGUUGGUGUGAUCUAU
Molecule: long non-coding RNA, 500 nt
Organism: Centrocercus urophasianus (Greater sage-grouse)
Lineage: Eukaryota; Metazoa; Chordata; Aves; Galliformes; Phasianidae
Exons: 3
Source: RefSeq, a predicted model, not a curated record